Molecule: ribosomal RNA, 1479 nt
Filed under: Lactiplantibacillus plantarum
Lineage: Bacteria; Bacillati; Bacillota; Bacilli; Lactobacillales; Lactobacillaceae
Description: bacterial SSU rRNA
Rfam family: Bacterial small subunit ribosomal RNA
Source: RNAcentral
UGGGUUCGGGGUUGCCUUUACUUGCAAGUCGAACGAACUCUGGUAUUGAUUGGUGCUUGCAUCAUGAUUUACAUUUGAGUGAGUGGCGAACUGGUGAGUAACACGUGGGAAACCUGCCCAGAAGCGGGGGAUAACACCUGGAAACAGAUGCUAAUACCGCAUAACAACUUGGACCGCAUGGUCCGAGUUUGAAAGAUGGCUUCGGCUAUCACUUUUGGAUGGUCCCGCGGCGUAUUAGCUAGAUGGUGGGGUAACGGCUCACCAUGGCAAUGAUACGUAGCCGACCUGAGAGGGUAAUCGGCCACAUUGGGACUGAGACACGGCCCAAACUCCUACGGGAGGCAGCAGUAGGGAAUCUUCCACAAUGGACGAAAGUCUGAUGGAGCAACGCCGCGUGAGUGAAGAAGGGUUUCGGCUCGUAAAACUCUGUUGUUAAAGAAGAACAUAUCUGAGAGUAACUGUUCAGGUAUUGACGGUAUUUAACCAGAAAGCCACGGCUAACUACGUGCCAGCAGCCGCGGUAAUACGUAGGUGGCAAGCGUUGUCCGGAUUUAUUGGGCGUAAAGCGAGCGCAGGCGGUUUUUUAAGUCUGAUGUGAAAGCCUUCGGCUCAACCGAAGAAGUGCAUCGGAAACUGGGAAACUUGAGUGCAGAAGAGGACAGUGGAACUCCAUGUGUAGCGGUGAAAUGCGUAGAUAUAUGGAAGAACACCAGUGGCGAAGGCGGCUGUCUGGUCUGUAACUGACGCUGAGGCUCGAAAGUAUGGGUAGCAAACAGGAUUAGAUACCCUGGUAGUCCAUACCGUAAACGAUGAAUGCUAAGUGUUGGAGGGUUUCCGCCCUUCAGUGCUGCAGCUAACGCAUUAAGCAUUCCGCCUGGGGAGUACGGCCGCAAGGCUGAAACUCAAAGGAAUUGACGGGGGCCCGCACAAGCGGUGGAGCAUGUGGUUUAAUUCGAAGCUACGCGAAGAACCUUACCAGGUCUUGACAUACUAUGCAAAUCUAAGAGAUUAGACGUUCCCUUCGGGGACAUGGAUACAGGUGGUGCAUGGUUGUCGUCAGCUCGUGUCGUGAGAUGUUGGGUUAAGUCCCGCAACGAGCGCAACCCUUAUUAUCAGUUGCCAGCAUUAAGUUGGGCACUCUGGUGAGACUGCCGGUGACAAACCGGAGGAAGGUGGGGAUGACGUCAAAUCAUCAUGCCCCUUAUGACCUGGGCUACACACGUGCUACAAUGGAUGGUACAACGAGUUGCGAACUCGCGAGAGUAAGCUAAUCUCUUAAAGCCAUUCUCAGUUCGGAUUGUAGGCUGCAACUCGCCUACAUGAAGUCGGAAUCGCUAGUAAUCGCGGAUCAGCAUGCCGCGGUGAAUACGUUCCCGGGCCUUGUACACACCGCCCGUCACACCAUGAGAGUUUGUAACACCCAAAGUCGGUGGGGUAACCUUUUAGGAACCAGCCGCUCUAAGCUAGAAUAAAAUAACG